This 111-nucleotide Y RNA is filed under the name Microcebus murinus (gray mouse lemur). RNAcentral describes it as "Y RNA (ENSMICG00000022787.3)". It matches the Rfam family "Y RNA". Rfam says of the family: Y RNAs are components of the Ro ribonucleoprotein particle (Ro RNP), in association with Ro60 and La proteins. Lineage: Eukaryota; Metazoa; Chordata; Mammalia; Primates; Cheirogaleidae. The record is from Rfam by way of RNAcentral.
GGCUGGUCCAAAGGUAGUGAGUUAUCUCACUUGGUUGUUCACAGGCAGUUACAGUUGAACUCCUGUUCUACUACUUUCCCCUGCCUCACUGCUGCCCUUGACUAGUCUAAA